RNAcentral lists this ribosomal RNA (247 nucleotides) under uncultured bacterium. Its description in RNAcentral is "partial 16S ribosomal RNA". It matches the Rfam family "Bacterial small subunit ribosomal RNA", at positions 523 to 769 of the family's 1533-position model. The record is from RNAcentral.
AGACGGAGGGUGCAAGCGUUGUUCGGAAUCACUGGGCAUAAAGCGCGUGUAGGCGGUCUGAUCAGUCGAGCGUGAAAGCCCGAGGCUCAACUUCGGAAGUGCACUCGAAACUGUCAGGCUUGAGUACGGGAGAGGGAAGUGGAAUUCCUGGUGUAGAGGUGAAAUUCGUAGAUAUCAGGAGGAACACCGGUGGCGAAGGCGGCUUCCUGGACCGAUACUGACGCUGAGACGCGAAAGCGUGGGGAGC